RNAcentral lists this ribosomal RNA (465 nucleotides) under uncultured bacterium. RNAcentral describes it as "partial 16S ribosomal RNA". It matches the Rfam family "Bacterial small subunit ribosomal RNA", at positions 338 to 795 of the family's 1533-position model. The record is from RNAcentral.
CCUACGGGGAGCAGCAGUAGGGAAUCUUCCACAAUGGGCGAAAGCCUGAUGGAGCAACGCCGCGUGGGUGAAGAAGGUCUUCGGAUCGUAAAACCCUGUUGUUAGAGAAGAAAGUGCGUGAGAGUAACUGUUCACGUUUCGACGGUAUCUAACCAGAAAGCCACGGCUAACUACGUGCCAGCAGCCGCGGUAAUACGUAGGUGGCAAGCGUUAUCCGGAUUUAUUGGGCGUAAAGGGAACGCAGGCGGUCUUUUAAGUCUGAUGUGAAAGCCUUCGGCUUAACCGGAGUAGUGCAUUGGAAACUGGGAGACUUGAGUGCAGAAGAGGAGAGUGGAAGUCAAGGUGUAGCGGUGAAAGGCGUAGAUAUAUGGAAGAACACCAGUGGCGAAAGCGGCUCUCUGGUCUGUAACUGACGCUGAGGUUCGAAAGCGUGGGUAGCAAACAGGAGUAGAUACCCCGGUAGUC